UACGGAGGUCCCAAGCGUUGUUCGGAAUUACUGGGCGUAAAGGGAGCGCAGGCGGAUAGUUAAGUCUAAAGUGGAAUCCCGGGGCUCAACCUCGGAACUGCUUCGGAUACUGGCUGUCUUGAGUUCGUGAGAGGAAAGCGGAAUUCAGGGUGUAGCGGUGAAAUGCUUAGAUAUCCUGAGGAACACCAAUGGCGAAGGCAGCUUUCUGGCGCGAUACUGACGCUGAGGCUCGAAAGCGUGGGGAGCGAAC
RNAcentral lists this ribosomal RNA (250 nucleotides) under uncultured bacterium. Its description in RNAcentral is "partial 16S ribosomal RNA". It matches the Rfam family "Bacterial small subunit ribosomal RNA", at positions 524 to 773 of the family's 1533-position model. The record is from RNAcentral.